This 528-nucleotide long non-coding RNA is filed under the name Mus spicilegus (steppe mouse). RNAcentral's name for it is "lncRNA (ENSMSIG00000026689.1)". The record is from RNAcentral. Lineage: Eukaryota; Metazoa; Chordata; Mammalia; Rodentia; Muridae.
CUUUUCCCAGUUCCAGUAUCAUAGGAUGAUGAAAUCUAAGCAAACCUUUAAAAGUGGGGCGGGGAGAGAGAGAGAGGAGUGGGAAGGUUUUAUUAUUUGUUUUGGCUGGAAGGAAAUUACUUGAAGUGGAAGAACAGGACAGAGACAGUAGGAGCCUGUUCAAGAAUGGGGUUGGUACUAAACUGGGGGCUUUUGGAUCCUUUAGUUGAGAUUCAAACCAGGUUGCUGGGGGAUAAUGAAGGAAGACCAGCCCUUCUACCUGCAACGGGGAGGCAAACUGCUUAUACACCUGCAGAAAAUUAUUUGAGAACAAAGAGGAAUUCAACAUCUUUCCUUCCAGAUGAGUUAAUAUGAUGCAGCUGUGAGGUGUGUGUAUUUUCUGUACCCUGAUUAUAGAAAACGACUAACAUUGUAGGUUUUCUAGCCUCCUACACAUUGAGCAAAUACAAAGGUGCUAGAUAGAACUAUGAGAAAAACGCAAAGGCAUCCAGUUUCUCCAAUGUGAAACCCAGGUUUGGGCUAUCCCCC